RNAcentral lists this long non-coding RNA (203 nucleotides) under Durio zibethinus. Its description in RNAcentral is "long non-coding RNA (DZIB_LNC000459)". The record is from RNAcentral. Lineage: Eukaryota; Viridiplantae; Streptophyta; Magnoliopsida; Malvales; Malvaceae.
GAAAAGAAAAAGGAAGAAGGAUAAAUAAGAAAAAAGAAAAAAAGGAAAAGUAAAGAUUAGAUUUGCAAUGAAUGAGGGAGAUUUGUGGGUUUCAAUGGUGACUGAUAAUGGAGAAAGGGUUAAGAUUUGGGAGGGAUUGUGGGUUUGUUUGAGAGAGUUUGGGAGUGAUAGAUUGAUAGUUGCUUGUAAUGUUUAGAAAAUUG